Quercus robur (English oak) is the source of this 1922-nucleotide RNA transcript. It is a transcript of the gene named methionine aminopeptidase 1A-like, with no coding region annotated. The transcript is spliced from 17 exons. The record is from RefSeq and is a predicted model, not a curated record. NCBI's taxonomy places the organism in Eukaryota, Viridiplantae, Streptophyta, Magnoliopsida, Fagales, Fagaceae.
AGAAAAAGACCCACCUCCUUUCCCUCCGUGUCCAUUUUCUCUUUCUCUGCAACCCUAGCUCUCUCUCUCUUUCUCAGAAAAGCUUAAAAAAGCUCUUUUGACCGUUUUGUCGUCAUCACAUCAGACGGUCCCCUGUACUUCUCCUCCAAUCAUAUUCUGAUUCUAUUAAUCACUUUCAGUCAUCAUCAUCGUCAAGUGACAGUAGUAUUUUCUGUAUUUUGACCACACUUAAUACUUUGUUUCACACACGAAUACAAAUUAAAACAACAACAGCAAAUUAACAAAACCGUGAAAACGAUGUCCGGUGGUUCCGAUGUGGCCGAUACCACUUCCCUAUCCUGCGCUCGCUGUGGCAAACCUGCUCGCCUUCAGUGUCCCAAAUGCGUGGAAUUAAAGCUCCCUCGCGAAGGUGCUGCUUUCUGCACUCAAGAUUGUUUCAAGGCUUCUUGGAGCUCUCAUAAAGCAGUGCAUUUGAAGGCAAAGCUGUCCUCACUUGGGACAGGUACUCCGCAUGAACAAAAUUCAGACUUACUUAAUGAAGAUUGGCUAUAUUGCUUGAAGAAAGGACAGGCUCGAACUCCAAAACUUCCCCAUUUUGAUUGGACAGGGGAAUUAAGGCCAUAUGCUAUAUCUAGAAGACGUGCUGUACCUGCUCAUAUUGAGCUUCCUGACUGGGCAGCUGAUGGUAUCCCAAAAACUGAGCCCAAUAGUGAUCUGCAGCAUGUUGUUGAGAUCAAAACACCGGAUCAAAUUGAGAGAAUGAGAGAGACUUGUCGAAUUGGAAGGGAAGUUUUGGACGCAGCUGCUCGUGUAAUACAGCCUGGUGUGACAACUGAUGAGAUUGACAGAGUGGUUCAUGAUGCAACUAUUGCGGCUGGUGCGUGCUUGCACUUUGCGCUUAGGCUCCAGGAGGCAUUUGUGCUUAAAUGCGGAGGAUAUCCUUCUCCUCUCAAUUAUCAUUUCUUCCCAAAGUCUUGCUGCACGUCAGUUAAUGAAGUAAUUUGCCAUGGAAUUCCAGAUGCAAGGAAAUUAGAGGAUGGUGAUAUUGUAAAUGUUGAUGUAACUGUGUACUAUAAAGGUGUCCAUGGUGAUCUCAAUGAAACGUAUUUUGUGGGUAAUGUUGAUGAAGAGUCUCGACGGCUGGUUCAAUGUACUUAUGAAAGCUUGGAGAAAGCAAUAGCUAUUGUGAAACCUGGGGUGCGAUUCCGUGAAAUUGGGGAAGUUAUUAAUCGUCAUACUACAAUGUCGGGGUUCUCAGUGGUAAAAUCAUAUUGCGGUCAUGGUAUUGGAGAGCUUUUUCAUUGUGCGCCAAAUAUUCCCCAUUAUGGAAGUAUCCUAAAUUAUUUUUUGCUGAAGGAAGAAAUAAAGCAGUUGGUGUAAUGAAGGCUGGGCAGACCUUUACAAUUGAACCAAUGAUCAAUGCUGGGGUUUGGCGUGAUCGGAUGUGGCCUGAUGGAUGGACUGCUGUCACUGCUGAUGGCAAACGCAGUGCUCAGUUUGAGCACACUCUUCUGGUGACACAGACUGGAGUUGAGGUUCUUACAGGGCGGCUGCCUUCCUCCCCAAAUGUGUUUCCUUGGCUAAAUGCGUAAUAAUUGGCAACUAUCAGCAAUUGUCUGUAUGGUGAACCUUCAUCCACCAAUAUCAUGCCAUCAGUGAACAUUCACUGAUUAUUGAUUGAUGGUUUUCUAGAUUCCUACCAUUUCCUUUUCUGUUGGAUGCGAAUGUGUUAUUGGAAGUGUGCUUUGGUGUUUCACACCUUUUAAACAAUCUUGUACUUUUUUUUUUUUUUUUUUUUUUUUUUUUGUUGAUAUUUUUUGUAGUUGCUAACUGGUGUUUGUCUUGGACCCCAGUAAGUUAUUCGAAUAAACAUUUUUAAUUUUUGGAUAAAUUGGGAAAAAAUUUGUUUAGAUUUUAUGUUA